ACGGAGGGUGCAAGCGUUGUUCGGAAUCACUGGGCGUAAAGGGCGCGUAGGCGGUUUGAUAAGUCAGAUGUGAAAGCCCACGGCUUAACUGUGGAAGUGCAUUUGAAACUGUCAGACUUGAGUAUCAGAGGGGAAAGUGGAAUUCCCGGUGUAGAGUUGGAGGUCGUAGUGAGGGGGAGGAGGCGCGGUGGCGGAGGCAGCAUUCUGGAUGAAUUCUGUUGCUGGGGGGGGGAAGAGCGUGGAGGGGUGGU
RNAcentral lists this ribosomal RNA (251 nucleotides) under uncultured prokaryote. RNAcentral's name for it is "partial 16S rRNA". It matches the Rfam family "Bacterial small subunit ribosomal RNA", at positions 525 to 775 of the family's 1533-position model. The record is from RNAcentral.